ACAGUGCACAGGACAACGCCACAUCAAAGAAUAACCCAGUCCCAAAUGUCAGUGGUGCUGAUGUUAAGAAAUCCUGCAUUAAGACCAAAAAGCCAGAUGAGUUUGGAGUCACUAAGGAGAGGUGCAGGAGAGGCGGACAGUGGUUCUUUCAACUGCUCCUUAUGUGAAGAAUUUCUCCAGGAUUCAUCAUUCCAUCUGGAUCUGUAUAAAUAAAGCUGAAGUUCUGGUCAUGACCACUCCCUGGAUCACUCCUGCCCCUGUGUUCCUGGAGCCUCAGAGUUUUGCGUCACAUGAGCUCCCAAGCUCUUCCUUUCUCAUUCAUCUGCUUUGGUUCAUUCUUGUUGAGACUCACUAUAAGGAAAGCACCUCAUCCUGCUACAGCUGGGUACAGAACUCUGAUGUCUUCAUAAAAGUUGCUGCCUCUUGGGAGCUGUGAGCAUUGGGAUCAGCCAGUAUGGCACAUUUGCUGCUACCUCAGGGCGUGAGAGCAUGCUAAGCUCCACAUGAAGGCCUCACUUUCCCACACUAUCUCCACUGAGCACUGAAGUGAUGAUGUUGUGUCCCUGUGUCUCAGGGGUAAAUGGAGGCAGCCUUUUUCUUUUCAGGGCUGACACAAAAAGUCAAUGGGGCUUGGGGAUGAAUAACAACAAAGGACAGGCCCUCUUGCAUGAGGUCAGUCCCUCCUGCUCCUGCCCUCAAAUGUAUAUGCAAAACUAUUUUCCUUGUUCUGUGCAUGAGGUCACUGUCUAUGGUCCCAUUGAUAUGGUUUGGCUAUGGACUGACCUAAAUCUCAUCUUGAAUUGUAAUAAUCCCCAUAUGUCAAGGGUGGGGUCAGGUGGAGGUAAUGGAAUCACAGGGGGUGGCUUCCCCCAUACUAUUCUCAUGAUAGUGAAAAAGUCUCACGAAAUCUGAUAGUUUUAUAAAUGGGAGUUUCCCUGCACAAGCUCUCUUGCCUGCUGCCAUGUAAGACAUGAUUUUGCUCCUCAUUUGCCUUCCAUAAUGAUUGUGAGACCUCCCCAGCCAUGUGGAACUGUGAGUCAAUUAAACCUCUUUCCUUUAUAAAUUACCCAGUGUUGGGUAUAUCUUUAUUAGCAGUGUGGGAACAGGCUAAUACAGUAAUUGGUACCAGUAGAGUGGGAUUCUGCUGUAAAGAUACCCCAAAAAUGUGGAGGUGACUAUGGAACUGGGUAACAGGCAGAAGUUGGAACAGUUUGGAGGACUCAGAAGACAGGAAAAUGUGGAAAAGUUUGGAGCUUUAUAGAGACUCGGAGGGCUCAUAAGCCAGGAAAAUACGGGAAAGUUUGGAAUUUCCUAGAGACUUGUUGAAUGGUUUUGACCAAAAUGCUGAUAGUGAUAUGGAAAAUAAAGUCCAGGUUGAGGAGGUCUCAGAUGGAGAUGAAGAGCAAAGGUAACUCUUGUCAUGCUUUAGCAAAAAGACUGGCAGCAUUUUGCUUCUGCCAUAGAGAUCUGUGGAACUUGGAACUUGAGAAAGAUGAUUUAGGCAUCCGGUGGAAGAAAUUUUUAAAUAGCAAGGCAUUCAAGAUGUGACUUGGGUGCUGUUAAAAGCAUUCAGUUUUCUGUAUUCACAAAGAUAUGGUUUGGAAUCAGAACUUAUGCUUAAAAGGGAAGCAGAGCAUAAAAAUUUAGAAAAUUUGCAGGCUGAUGAUGCAAUAGAAAAGAAAAACCCAUUUUCUGAGGAGAAAUUCAAGCCUGCUGCAGAAAUUUGCGUAAAUAAUGAGGAGAAAAAUGUUAAUCACCAAGAAAAUGCAGAAAAUGUCUCCAGGGUAUCACAGAGAGAUUUGCAGCAGCCCCUCCCAUCACAGGCCUAGAGGCCUAGGAGGAAAAAAUGGUUUCGUGGGCUGGGCCCAUGGCCUCGCUGCUCUGUGCAGCCUAGGGACUUGGUGCUCUGUGUCCCAGCCACUCUAGCUGUGGCUAAAAGAGGACAAGGUACAGCUCAGGCUGUGGCUUCAGAGGGUGGAAGCCCCAAGCCUUGGCAGCUUCCAUGUGGUGUUGAGCUUGUGGGUGCACAGAAGUUAGGAAUUGAGGUUUGGAAACCUCUGCCUAGUUUCAGAAGAAGUAUGGAAGCACCUGGAUGUCCAGGCAGAAGUUUGCCGUAGGGGUAGGGUCCUCAUGGAGAACCUCUGCUAGGGCUGUGUGAAAGAGCAAUGUGGGGUGGGGUCCCCCAGACAGAGUCCCUACUUGGGCACUGCCUAGUGGAGCUGUGAGAAGAAGCCCACCAUCCCGCAGACUCCAGAGUGGUAGGUCCACCAAUAGCUUGCACCGUGCACCUGGAAAAGUGGCAGACACUCAAUGCCAGCCCAUGAAAGCAACCAGGAGGGAGGCUGUACCCUACAAAGCCACAGAAUGGAGCUGCCCAAGACCAUGGGAACACACCUCUUGCAUCUGUAUGACCUGGAUGUGAGAAAUGGAGUCAAAGAAGAUCAUUUUGGAGCUUUAAGAUUUGACUGCCCCCCUGGAUUUCAAACUUGGAUGGGGUCUGUAGCUCCUUCGUUUUGGCCAGUUUCUUCCAUUUGGAACAGCUGUAUUUGACCAAUGACAGUACCCUCAUUAUAUCUAGGAAGCAACUUACUUGGUUUUGAUUUUACAGGCUCAUAGGUGGAAGAGAGUUUCCUGGUUUCAGAUGAGACUUUGGACUGGGACUUUUGGGUUAAUGCUGUAAUGAGUUAAGACUUUGGGGGACAGUUGGGAAGGCAAGAUUGUUUUUUGAAAUGUGAAAGUGACAUGAGAUUUGGGAGGGUCUGGGGGCAGAAUGAUGUGGUUUGGGUGUUUCCCGACCCAAAUUUCAUCUUGAAUUGUAAUAAUCCACACAUGUCAAGAACAGGGCCAGGUGAAGAUACUUGAAUCAUGGGGGUGAUUUCCUCCAAACUGUUCUCAUGGUAGUGAAUAAAUCUCAAGAGAUCUGAUGGUUUUAUAAAUGGGAUUUCCUCUGCACAAACUUUCUUUCCUGUCACCAUGUAAGACGUGACUUUGCUCAUCAUUCAUCUUCCACCAUGUUUGUAAGGCCUCCCCAAC
This is a long non-coding RNA of Homo sapiens (human), 3033 nucleotides long. Ensembl annotates it as long intergenic non-protein coding RNA 1182. Lineage: Eukaryota; Metazoa; Chordata; Mammalia; Primates; Hominidae. The record is from Ensembl.